This 195-nucleotide unclassified non-coding RNA is filed under the name uncultured Mucoromycota. RNAcentral's name for it is "sequence contains ITS2". Lineage: Eukaryota; Fungi; Mucoromycota. The record is from RNAcentral.
UUUAAUAACAAUCGAUGUGUUGCUUUUAUUAGUAAUACAACGGAAUUGAGUUAUCUUAACCUUUAGGUUUAAGAGGCUUAAAAUUAAAUUAAUUUUGUAUUUAAAACGAAUUUAGAAUUUUCUAUGCGUUUCGGAUGCAAUAAUUUUAUUAGGUAUGAUCAUUUUUCAUGAUAUCAUACUCAUAAUUUUUUCAAC